RNAcentral lists this ribosomal RNA (169 nucleotides) under uncultured bacterium. RNAcentral's name for it is "partial 16S rRNA". It matches the Rfam family "Bacterial small subunit ribosomal RNA", at positions 350 to 511 of the family's 1533-position model. The record is from RNAcentral.
AGCAGUAGGGAAUCUUCGGCAAUGGACGAAAGUCUGACCGAGCAACGCCGCGUGUGUGAUGAAGGGUUUCGGCUCGUAAAACACUGUUGUAAGAGAAGAAUGACAUUGAGAGUAACUGUUCAAUGUGUGACGGUAUCUUACCAGAAAGGAACGGCUAAAUACGUGCCGG